This 1366-nucleotide ribosomal RNA is filed under the name uncultured bacterium. RNAcentral describes it as "partial 16S ribosomal RNA". It matches the Rfam family "Bacterial small subunit ribosomal RNA", at positions 28 to 1381 of the family's 1533-position model. The record is from RNAcentral.
GACGAACGCUGGCGGCGUGCCUAAUACAUGCAAGUAGAACGCUGAAGGAGGAGCUUGCUCUUCUGGAUGAGUUGCGAACGGGUGAGUAACGCGUAGGUAACCUGCCUGGUAGCGGGGGAUAACUAUUGGAAACGAUAGCUAAUACCGCAUAACAGUAGAUGUUGCAUGACAUUUGCUUAAAAGGUGCAAUUGCAUCACUACCAGAUGGACCUGCGUUGUAUUAGCUAGUUGGUGGGGUAACGGCUCACCAAGGCGACGAUACAUAGCCGACCUGAGAGGGUGAUCGGCCACACUGGGACUGAGACACGGCCCAGACUCCUACGGGAGGCAGCAGUGGGGAAUUUUGGACAAUGGGCGCAAGCCUGAUCCAGCCAUGCCGCGUGUCUGAAGAAGGCCUUCGGGUUGUAAAGGACUUUUGUCAGGGAAGAAAAGGGCGGGGUUAAUACCCCUGUCUGAUGACGGUACCUGAAGAAUAAGCACCGGCUAACUACGUGCCAGCAGCCGCGGUAAUACGUAGGGUGCGAGCGUUAAUCGGAAUUACUGGGCGUAAAGCGGGCGCAGACGGUUACUUAAGCAGGAUGUGAAAUCCCCGGGCUCAACCUGGGAACUGCGUUCUGAACUGGGCGACUAGAGUGUGUCAGAGGGAGGUAGAAUUCCACGUGUAGCAGUGAAAUGCGUAGAGAUGUGGAGGAAUACCGAUGGCGAAGGCAGCCUCCUGGGAUAACACUGACGUUCAUGCCCGAAAGCGUGGGUAGCAAACAGGAUUAGAUACCCUGGUAGUCCACGCCCUAAACGAUGUCGAUUAGCUGUUGGGCAGCAUGACUGCUUAGUAGCGAAGCUAACGCGUGAAAUCGACCGCCUGGGGAGUACGGUCGCAAGAUUAAAACUCAAAGGAAUUGACGGGGACCCGCACAAGCGGUGGAUGAUGUGGAUUAAUUCGAUGCAACGCGAAGAACCUUACCUGGUCUUGACAUGUACGGAACCCUCCAGAGACGGAGGGGUGCCUUCGGGAGCCGUAACACAGGUGCUGCAUGGCUGUCGUCAGCUCGUGUCGUGAGAUGUUGGGUUAAGUCCCGCAACGAGCGCAACCCUUGUCAUUAGUUGCCAUCAUUAAGUUGGGCACUCUAAUGAGACUGCCGGUGACAAGCCGGAGGAAGGUGGGGAUGACGUCAAGUCCUCAUGGCCCUUAUGACCAGGGCUUCACACGUCAUACAAUGGUCGGUACAGAGGGUAGCCAAGCCGCGAGGUGGAGCCAAUCUCACAAAACCGAUCGUAGUCCGGAUUGCACUCUGCAACUCGAGUGCAUGAAGUCGGAAUCGCUAGUAAUCGCAGGUCAGCAUACUGCGGUGAAUACGUUCCCGGGUCU